This 352-nucleotide ribosomal RNA is filed under the name uncultured bacterium. RNAcentral's name for it is "bacterial SSU rRNA". It matches the Rfam family "Bacterial small subunit ribosomal RNA", at positions 46 to 384 of the family's 1533-position model. The record is from RNAcentral.
GGAUUAGGCAUGCAAGUCGAACGAGGAUAUAUCCUUCGGGAUAUAAGCCGAGUGGCGCAAGGGUGAGUAAUGCAUAGAUUACCUGCCUCUAGGAUAAGGACAACUUUGUGAAAACGAAGCUAAUACUUAAUAAUACAAGAGAAAAUAAUUUUUUCUUGUCAAUGGGAGGGUAGCAAUAUCUUUUGCCUAGAGAGGGGUUUAUGUCCUAUCAGCUUGUUGGUGGGGUAAUGGCCUACCAAGGCGAAGACGGGUAGCCGGUCUUAGAGGAUGGUCGGCCACACUGGGACUGAGACACUGCCCAGACUUCUACGGAAGGCUGCAGUCGAGAAUCUUUCGCAAUGCCCGAAAGGAA